This 497-nucleotide ribosomal RNA is filed under the name uncultured bacterium. RNAcentral's name for it is "partial 16S ribosomal RNA". It matches the Rfam family "Bacterial small subunit ribosomal RNA", at positions 28 to 507 of the family's 1533-position model. The record is from RNAcentral.
GACGAACGCUGGCGGCGUGCCUAAUACAUGCAAGUUAAGCGAUGAAGAUUGGUGCUUGCACCAAUUUGAAGAGCAGCGAACGGGUGAGUAACGCGUGGGGAAUCUGCCUUUGAGCGGGGGACAACAUUUGGAAACGAAUGCUAAUACCGCAUAACAACUUUAAACAUAAGUUUUAAGUUUGAAAGAUGCAAUUGCAUCACUCAAAGAUGAUCCCGCGUUGUAUUAGCUAGUUGGUGAGGUAAAGGCUCACCAAGGCGAUGAUACAUAGCCGACCUGAGAGGGUGAUCGGCCACAUUGGGACUGAGACACGGCCCAAACUCCUACGGGAGGCAGCAGUAGGGAAUCUUCGGCAAUGGACGAAAGUCUGACCGAGCAACGCCGCGUGAGUGAAGAAGGUUUUCGGAUCGUAAAACUCUGUUGGUAGAGAAGAACGUUGGUGAGAGUGGAAAGCUCAUCAAGUGACGGUAACUACCCAGAAAGGGACGGCUAACUACGUG